Leopardus geoffroyi (Geoffroy's cat) is the source of this 885-nucleotide long non-coding RNA. RefSeq lists it as uncharacterized. The transcript is spliced from 2 exons. The record is from RefSeq and is a predicted model, not a curated record. Lineage: Eukaryota; Metazoa; Chordata; Mammalia; Carnivora; Felidae.
ACAUGAGCUGAAAUCAAGGGUUGGGUGUUGAACCAACUGAGCCACCCAGGUACCCCUGGAAUUGGUUUUUUAAAAUUUCAUUUUCUGAAUGAAAAUGCAUAUAGAAGUACAGUCGAAUUUUAUAUUGAACUUGUAUCCUGCAGCCUUGCUAAAUUCACUUGUUCUGGUAACUUUUUUGGAGAUGCUGUAAGAUUUUCAAUAUAGACUUCUGUUAUUUGUGAAUAAAGACCAUUUUACUUCCUUCUUUCCAAUCUAGAUGUCCUUUUUGUUGUUGUUGUUGUUGUUGUUGUUUUCCCCUUUUUCUUGCCUUAUUACAUUGACUGGAACCUCCUGACAAGACUGAAUAGAACAUAUCCUUGUCUUGUACCUGUUAGGGGGAAACAUGGAGCCAUUCACCAUCAAAUAUGAUGUUAGCCGUGGAUAUUGUCAAAACACUUUGUCAGACCAAGGAGGUUCUCUUCUGUUCCUAGUUUGCUCAAAGUUUUUAUCAGGAAGACAUGCCCAAUUUGGUCAAAUAUUUUUUCCAUAUCUUUUGGAACAAUCACAAGGCUUUUUCAUUUUUAGCCUCUUAAUAUGGCAAGUUACUUUGAUUUUUAAAAUGUUAUCUGCCACUCUCCCCCCUCCUCUGAUUUCUAGUUUUCUUUGGUAUCUUCUUUCCUGGGUUAGGCAUGAAGACUUUCCUUACCUUAAUUGUUCCAUUCCCCUCCUUCAAGCCGGCUGUCGUUUUCUGCCCAGGUCACCUGUAUACUUGCUAAUGGCCUGUUGCAUGGAAUCAGGCAUGGGCUGACUGCCCAGAAUUAACAGCUUAGGUCAGAAAUGAACCUGUGGCCAGGUGUUUAAUGGGUGCCCUGGCUUCCAUGCUGGGGAAACAGCAUAAUACCUACU